Molecule: ribosomal RNA, 253 nt
Filed under: uncultured bacterium
Lineage: Bacteria
Description: partial 16S ribosomal RNA
Rfam family: Bacterial small subunit ribosomal RNA
Source: RNAcentral
UACGAAGGGGGCUAGCGUUGCUCGGAAUUACUGGGCGUAAAGGGCGCGUAGGCGGAUAGUUUAGUCAGAGGUGAAAGCCCAGGGCUCAACCUUGGAAUUGCCUUUGAUACUGGCUAUCUUGAGUACGGAAGAGGUAUGUGGAACUCCGAGUGUAGAGGUGAAAUUCGUAGAUAUUCGGAAGAACACCAGUGGCGAAGGCGGCUCACUGGCCCGAUACUGACGCUGAGGCACGAAAGCGUGGGGAGCAAACAGG